Molecule: long non-coding RNA, 2171 nt
Filed under: Lactuca sativa (garden lettuce)
Lineage: Eukaryota; Viridiplantae; Streptophyta; Magnoliopsida; Asterales; Asteraceae
Description: long non-coding RNA (LSAT_LNC003559)
Source: RNAcentral
AUUGGAAGAGUAAACUUGGUCAACAAGCCAUAACUACAGAAUUCAACUUAAUCGCAAAGGCAAAGGACAAAUAUGGAACAAUUCCUCAUUAAUUCCACUAUAUUAACUUCUAGCGGAUUUUAAACUGUUUGUGUUGGAACGCAUGUCUCUUAUAUAUAAAAAUUUUAGACAAUCACAUUUGAAAAGGAAAUCAAGGAGUUUUCCUACGACAUAAAUAAUCGACAAUCGCUACAUUUUUAGCCCAAUAACCCAUCUACGAUUCUUCCACCUUUACUCUUUUUUCCAUUCUAGCUGUAUAACAUAUUUAUCCCUGCAAUUAACAUCUGAAACUAUUAAGACUCCAAAUAUAUUUAAUGACACACUAUUAGCCUAGUACUUAGGUAACACAAAAUUUAAAAAAGGAUAAACUAUAUGUCAAUCAAACCAAUUGUGUAUGUUGAUAUUAGACAACAAAUUGUGUGUGUGUUUUCAGAUAAAAUCAUAGAUAAUUACUUAUUGUCUGUAAAAUCACAAAAACUUGUUGUGCAGAACAGCUUAAGCAAUUUAUCGAACAGUUGGUGUGCAGAAAUUGAAGCAAUUCAUAAAGAAAUAUUUGAACCAAAACAGGCGAUGAGAAGCUGAAACUUUCUAUGAAACUGUGAUUCCGCAUGAACUGAAGAGUGACAAAUAUAGAAACACAAAAGCUUAGAAACUAGAUACAUGAACUGUUCUCCUAAUUAGAUCUUCUCGUUAUAAUAACAAAAAAAAAAGUUUGACCAGACCUUAGCAAUUUCGAAAAUACGACUAUAAAUCAUAGAGAGAUCAUCUUACUUUGUGUCCAUCGUCUCUAAUAACCCCAAUAGUACCAUCACUUGAAAAACUACUUAGCAAUAAAAGCGGCGAAAAUAUUUGAUUACCUUUGGAUGGCUGCGUUUAUCGGACACAGUUGCCUUAGAUAAUAAAUAGCAUAUUUGGUUGAUUGAGCGGGAUUAGAAUGAGAAAAGGAAACAAUGGCCGACGUCGCCAUCUUCCGCCGAUAGACAUUAACAGGCGAGGUGACGAAAAGAUCGAUUGAAACCGAUUGUGAAAUCUUGAUGUCAUCUGUUUAUAUUGACUAAAUGAAGGCCGAUAACUCAGAAAUUGGAAAGGGGAGAGAUGAAUCAACAAUGGAAUAAUCUUGAAAUGGAUGGUGAUUGAGGUAUAUGAAGUCGACUGACGUACGCUAUCGAUUCGAAUUUGAAAUAUGAUAGUUUUUGAUUUAUUGGGAUUACAUUGAAAAUUGAUUGUUGAUUUUAUGCGGGCCUCUUUCCUUUUGCAGGAGGAUUCCACAAGUGAAAUGUCACCUGCAACAAUGUUUGGAUGAGAAAGAUUUUAAGAAGCUCUGCUUAUUCAAGAUCUGUAUCUAGACCUAAUUGCACAAUUAAUUAAGUUAAUCAACCACAUAAGGCAUCUUCCAUAACUAAGUAGCAACAAAACCAUAACAGCUACCAGAAAUUCACCAUAAUAGCAACCUGAAAGUGCAAAAACCACACUGAACAACCCUUAUUGAAGCAGAUCCUCUUAGCACAAAAUGAGAACAACCAACCUUAUAAUCGAAAAGUUAGAAGUAGAAUAUUACCUUUGAUAACAUAACUACUGAAUAUCACCUCUUUUUAGGAAUCAUAUUUCGUUAAAACCCUAAAAAUUAGAAAUCUUUCAAACAAACGAAUUCCAAAACAGAAACACAAAUAGAAACAAAUCCAUAAAUAAUAGCAGGUGGUGGGUUUGGAUGUCUUUUACCCGGUUUGGAAGCCUCAUGGUGGAGGUCGUUGCGUCGACAAAGAAGGACAUUUGAUGUCGUUUAGAUAAGAAAAUAAGAAAGCGCAAGCAGGCGGAGAUCUUUGUGGUAGCAAUGGUUGUGUAGAAGGUAGUGUUUAGGUUACUAAUGACAUAUAAUAGAGAAGUGAUCGGAGUUUGUAAUGGUGGCAUCAAGAAGUUGUUGGUAAGUUGGUAACAGAGGGUUGUCGGAGACAUGAAAGGGCAAAGAGAAAGAGACGGGAUAUAUGUGGUUUGGCGGCAGGUGGUAGCAUGUAGAAGAAAUUAGGGUUCUCAACAUCUUGAGAGUUAACACCGUAAGAUACAUUUAGGUUUGGUGCACGUAUACACUUAUAUAUUGUAAGCUUAAUAUGUUUAUACUUCUUGUUCAAAUAGUU